Molecule: long non-coding RNA, 5066 nt
Filed under: Heterocephalus glaber (naked mole-rat)
Lineage: Eukaryota; Metazoa; Chordata; Mammalia; Rodentia; Bathyergidae
Description: lncRNA (ENSHGLG00000035190.1)
Source: RNAcentral
GGCUUCCCAAGCAAUGAGAUUACAGUAAUGUGCUACCACGCCUGGCUAUUGCCCAAGUUUUAUGUUUUCUGUUUAGAUCUUAUAGUUAUUCUAGGUUGGCCCAUCAAAUACUGUAUUACCGUCAGCUCAGAGCAAUGAGUUGACUACAGGUUGGUACUAGUUCAACUCCCAGUACCAAAAAACAAAAUUAGUGGCCUACUCUAAAACCCACAUUUUUCUCACGUAAUCUUUCCCUUGCUGCCCGAUGCCUUUGGAUAAAAAUGCAGAUUAAUUGGACUAUCCCUGGAGGCCCUCCGUGGUGUGUGCCCAGAGGUUUUUACCACACUGAUUCAGAAAGCAUCCUUUCCACCCUUCUCCUUUCCUCAACCACCUUUACAACUUCUUGUUCCAGUCUUCUCUGUACUUCUCCUACAUGGUUUCUCCAUACAAUCUGUAUUCUGUCCCCUUCCUGCUUGUUUAGACCACAUUUCCAUUCAAGCAUUCCAAAGAAGACAAAUGGGAAUGGAACCUGGUGGACUCAGAAGUUAGAAGCUGCCCUAACUGAGGGGCCCCAGUGGGUCAAGGGAGCUGCCAUUGUUGGACAGUGACUGGAGGUGGUGGUGGUAUGAAGUAUCAAAAUAUCUGAAUCCCUUUCCAGGAGUUUUUAUUACACUGUCAUUAGAGGGGUAUCAAUGACAGUAUAAAGAAUGCACACCUCAAAAAUAAACCUAAAUGGAAAACCUUGCCCCAUCUUAAAUCUUGUUUGUGUUAAAAGUAGAGGACUUUACUCUUACAUACACAUAAAAUCUCAAAAGAUCUUUAAGAUACACUCUUUUUUUAUUUUGUGGUACAAUGAUAGAACCCAGAGCCCACUCACAUGCUACAUAGGCACUCUACCACUAGGCUACACCGCCAGCCAGAUAGCAUUUGUGUGUGUGUGUGUGUGUGUGUGUGUGUGUGUGUGUGGUGGUGGUGGUAUGGGAGGUUGUGGAGAUUGGUAAGUCCUUAAGUGGGCUUGAACUUGCAGUCCUCCUCCCUCAGUCUCCCAGAGUGCUGGGAUCACAGGUGUACAUCACUGCACAGCUCAGGUUAGCAUUCAGAUCUUACAUUUUUCCCUUACUCUCCACGGUUCCUAGCCUAACCACAUAGGCAUUUUAUAAAUAUGUAUAUGUUUACUAAGUAAUCUAGAGAUUUCUCCUCAUACCUCUGCUGACUCCUCUACUCCCUUCUGUCACCUACACCUGGAGACUUCAUUCACUUCUGUGUUCUUAGGAAGACCUUAACUAAUUAGAGUAGCUGUUGUUUUUCUCUCUUUUUUUAUUUCAUUAAUUUUUUUCAUGCUUAUAUAUUAAAUCUCUGGCAUCCUUGGUUAUUUUAGUGUGUAUGAUUCCAAAUUAAUGGUCUUGGAUUUUUUUUCCUUGAUGAAACCUUCAGUGUUUUUGAGGGGGAGGCUCUAGCCUUGCUAACUGUGCCUUGGAUUGCUAUGAUGCAGCAACAUAAUCCCAUCUACCAGGAACUCGGAAUCUUAAAAAUUGCCAAGAUAGUACAGAGAGUUCCCAUAUGCUCUCACAUCCAAACCUAAUAACCUAAAGGAUAUCACUUUGGUGACACAUGUGGAGGAAGGCAGGAGUACAGAAGAACCACACAUCCUACCAACAAUAACGCUGGCCCUCAGUGCUGUGUGAUCCAUGCAGAAGGCCUUGUGUGCCCCGCACAAAGAAAACAAUGACCAGACUACCAAAUCCUAGCCAGCUCUGCUCCUGCAUUCUCCUCAGCACAGAGUGGCAGAAGUGACAGCAAAAAGACUGACCUGAUUGAAAUAAGACCCACACCUAGAAGAGUUUCACUCUAGGACUGAAGUGUUACUGUACCACAGGGACUGGGUGAGAGACAUCCAGGGGAGGCAGCUUAGGAUAAGAGCUAAAGAGGGGUCUCUGGCAUCACCUGGUAGGCUUGGGCUGAGCCCAGGAGGAUCAUGGGACCUGUAUACUGUGGUGGGAGUUCAGGUUUGAUAGGUAUAAUCUUCAGAAGUGGUGGUCCUGAGGAGAUGACAUUUGGUCCAGGUGUACACUUGAGCCCUUGCACCACACCUAUAUCCAGCAGAAAUUAGUGGUCUGAAUUACUAUAGUUCAAUAUCUGGGUGGCCUAAGUGUCUUCACUAAAAUCAUAGACGUCUGCUCUGGUUAAGGGUAGUUGAAGACUUCUGGGAAGAUGGUGGAGUGGUGAACAGAGAAACAGUCUCUCCAAGAUUUGGUGUCCAGAUGCUGGAAUAUAUUACCAUGAGGAAGACAAGGAGGGAAGUGGGUGCCUGGGACUCAGCAAGGAUCUGAAGGGAGAAUUGCAGCCCAUAGGAAGAGUGAAGAGAGAUACUUAAACAAAAAAAGAAGGAGAUGGCAAACAGUGCUUCCUCCCUGAGCCCUGACUCACUGCAUGGGAAGGGUGGCUUAAACUUGCAUACACACAGUGACUACUGGCAACCCCAGAGGCCUCCAUGGAGAAAUGCACCAGUGGAAUGUAGCAGUGGAUGCAGCAGACUGCAGUGGCUGGAGAGUUAUUCGGGUUCAGAUGUCCCCCAAGAGAGGGUGAUUGACCAGUCACUGUCUUGGAGGGGCCACAUGCAGAAGAUUGAAUCUAGAUCCAUAUAUCUCACUAUGUACUAAACUGAAAUCAAAAUGGGUCAAAGACCUAAAUAUUAAAACAGAAACAAUCUUCUGGAAAAUAAAAUAGGUACAACUCUUGAAGACAUAGGCAUAGGCAAGGACUUUUGAACAGAUCCCCAGUGGCACAAGAAAUAAUACUGAGAAUCAACAAAUGGGGUCAUAUCAAAUUAAAAAGCUCCAGAGCAAAGGAAACCACCAAAAGAGUGAGGAGACAACCUACAGAAUGGGAAAAAUUAUUUGCCGGCUAUUCCUCAGACAAAAGACUAACAUUAUAAUAUAUAAACUCAAAAGGGCUGGGGAUUUAGCUCAGUGAUUCCACCACCUGCCUUGCAGGUGCAAGGUCCCAAGUUUGAUCUCCGGUACCAAAAAAAAAAGAACUCAAAAGUAUUAGACUCCCAAAAUUAAAGACCCAAUCAAAAGGGCAAAUGAAAUGAAUAGACACUAUGUAGAAGAAGGACAAGCAACCAAUAAGUAGAUUUUAAAAUGUUCAGUGUCUCUGACCAUUAGUGAAAUGCAAAUUGAAACUACACUGAGGUACCAUCUUACCCCAGAAAGAAUGGCUAUCAUCAAAAAAGUCAUAGCAAAUGCUGGUGAGGAUAUGGGAAAAAGGGAAUUCUACAUUGUUGGUGGGAAUAUAAACUAAUAUAAUCAGUAUGGAAAUCAGUGUGAAGAUUUCUCAGCUAUCCCCUUUAUAAGUAUCUUCCCAAAAGAUUUUAAAUUGUCAUAGGGAUACAUGCAUACCCAUGAUUGUAGCAGCACAGUUUAUAAUAGCUAAUUUCCGAAACAGGGUAUAGGUCCAUGAACAGAUGAAUGGAUAAGGAAAAUGUAUUUAUAUACCAUGAAGUACUACUGUGCCAUAAAGAAAGAUAAAUUUCAGGAAUUCAUAGGUAAAUGGAUGCAACUAGAGAACCUAAUGUUAAGUGAAAUAAAGUCAGACAAAGCAGUUUAAAUAUCACAUAGCCUCUCAUAUGAGAAACAGUAUAUGCAAAUGACAAAAUGGAAGAUAAAUAGGAUAUGGGGAGAGGUUCAGUGGUUCCCCAAAUUACCUAUCCCAUUGUUUCAAAAAUAUUUUAGGGCUGAGGAUUUAGCUCAGUGGCACUGUAUCUGCCUCACAAGCGCAAGGUCCUGAGUUUGAUUCCCGGUACCAAAAAAAAAAUUUUAAUGUAUAUGCAAAUUUGUUUCAUUUAUACUAGUAGUUUCUCUUCAUUUGUUGAAAAGAAAAUUUUGUACUAUCAGUUUGCUGCUUUUGUAAGAAUCUUUUGUAGAUGUCUUGUCCGCUGAGUAACUACUUUGAAGAUAAAUGCUACAUAGUGUAUUAACUAUUGCUAUUCUGUUACUUUGUUUUAUCAUAAAAGAAGAAUUUAUCAAUGAGUUAAAAAAUGAGUGGGCACCUGUAUAGUUAGUCCUCAAUAUCUGCACAUUCUGUAUUUACAAAUUCAAUCCUGUGGACUGAAAGUACUUUAUAAAAUAUAGUUCACCUGAGCUGAAUGUGUACAGGUUUCAUUUCUUCUCAUUAUACUGUGGACAAUACAGUGUAACAACUCUUUACAUAACAUUUGCAUUGCAAUAGGUAUUGUAAUUGAUUCAGUGAUGUUGCCUUGAUAUUGGUAAAUUUUGCUUCCCUCAUUUUUCUUCACCGUUGGUUGUUAAUUUUAUUAGUUUGUUCAGAAAAUAAAUUUUUAGUUUUCUUGAUAUUUCCAUUAUACAAAUUUCUUUGCACUGAUUUGUGCUCGUUGGUUUACAGUCUUUACUUGUUUAGUUUUCACUUUGUUUCAGAUUAGUUGUUUGAAUCAUUCAUUUUUAAUCUUUUUGUCAUAUGUCCAUUUAGGUUUUUUUUUUUUUUUUUUUGGUUUUUUGAGACAGGGUCUCACUGUGUAGUUCACCCUGGCCUUGAACUCAGUAUGAACCCCAGGGUAGACCUCAAACCCAUGGUGAUCAUCCUGCCUCGGCCUCAAAAGUGUUGGGAUUAUAGGCAUGGACUAUCACACCCAGCUUAGGUUACUUAUUUUCUUGUAAGCAUGAUUUAAUGUCUUUUAAUUAUCAGUGUUAUGGCUUGCACCUUGAUGUCUCCGCCAAAGUCUCAUGCAGUCAUAGGUGGAGCUUUUUCAGAGGUGGCUCCUUCUAGAGUAUAUGAUGUUGGAAUUAAGGGUGUGUGAUUACUAAAUUAGUCCAGUGAUUGGUUUGGCAUAGUUCUGGGUGUGGAUAAUGGGAAAGCCCACCCUGGGUGUGAGUGCUGCCUGCCCUCGGGGAGGGCACCCUGGAUGAAUAUAAUUUAAGUGAGAAAAAGAGGGCUCUUGUGGCCACUUGCUGCUUGCUUCCUUGCUACUUCUCUGCCUUCCCACCUUCCACCUGCCAUGAACUAUUUCUCCCAUGCUUCCUUGCCUUGGAGUCAGCUGACUGUGAACUGAAACCUCUACAAACUGUGAG